Molecule: ribosomal RNA, 305 nt
Filed under: uncultured bacterium
Lineage: Bacteria
Description: bacterial SSU rRNA
Rfam family: Bacterial small subunit ribosomal RNA
Source: RNAcentral
AUCCUACGGGACGCAGCAGUGGGGGAUAUUGCACAAUGGGGGGAACCCUGAUGCAGCGACGCCGCGUGGGUGAAGGAGCGUUUCGGCGCGUAAAGCCCUAUCGGCAGGGAAGAAGAUGACGGUACCUGACCAAGAAGCCCCGGCUAACUACGUGCCAGCAGCCGCGGUAAUACGUAGGGGGCAAGCGUUAUCCGGAUUUACUGGGUGUAAAGGGAGCGUAGACGGAUAAGCAAGUCUGAUGUGAAAAUCCGGGGCCCAACCCCGGAAUUGCAUUGGAAACUGCAUAUCUAGAGUGCCGGAGAGGG